AAUCGUUGUGUGUGCAGUGUCAUUUUUAACCGAUUUUUGUUGCUCGAUUUUAAUCGGACAACAUCAAAACGUUUUGAUAUACGAUUUUUAUCGGUGGAAUUUUAAGUAUAACCAAUCAGAUUUCAUGCUGUGAUCACGUGCUUGUAUUUAUUUAGCAACAUGGCGGCUACAGUUCAGGGAGCAUAUUUUUUUCGUAAUCGUGUGAGGAGUAUACCGAUGUAUAUCGAUAUGUCAAACGAUUUUUAUCGGCCGACUAAAAUCGCAUCGUGUGCGCCAGGCUUAAGGAUGAUUAGCACAUUACUUAACAUUAGAUGAAAGAUAACAGGAGUAAAAUGUUCAGGGGCACAAAUGACCAGUAAGGCUUGCAUGCCGGUAUCUUAAGGUAGUGUAGGUCAAUGAUGGAGAUUUUCAUAAAAAGC
Molecule: non-coding RNA, 419 nt
Organism: Paramuricea clavata
Lineage: Eukaryota; Metazoa; Cnidaria; Anthozoa; Malacalcyonacea; Plexauridae
Source: the annotation of a GenBank genome assembly